This 231-nucleotide ribosomal RNA is filed under the name Vibrio parahaemolyticus. RNAcentral's name for it is "partial 16S ribosomal RNA". It matches the Rfam family "Bacterial small subunit ribosomal RNA", at positions 1 to 218 of the family's 1533-position model. Lineage: Bacteria; Pseudomonadati; Pseudomonadota; Gammaproteobacteria; Vibrionales; Vibrionaceae. The record is from RNAcentral.
AAAUUGAAGAGUUUGAUCAUGGCUCAGAUUGAACGCUGGCGGCAGGCCUAACACAUGCAAGUCGAGCGGAAACGAGUUAUCAGAACCUUCGGGGGACGAUAACGGCGUCGAGCGGCGGACGGGUGAGUAAUGCCUAGGAAAUUGCCCUGAUGUGGGGGAUAACCAUUGGAAACGAUGGCUAAUACCGCAUGAUGCCUACGGGCCAAAGAGGGGGACCUUCGGGCCUCUCGC